This 70-nucleotide transfer RNA is filed under the name Trichophthalma punctata. Its description in RNAcentral is "tRNA-Val". Lineage: Eukaryota; Metazoa; Arthropoda; Insecta; Diptera; Nemestrinidae. The record is from RNAcentral.
CAAUUUAUAGUUUUUAGCAAAAUAUUUCAUUUACAUUGAAAGGAUUUCUGUGCAAUCCAGUAUAAAUUGA